Molecule: ribosomal RNA, 253 nt
Filed under: uncultured bacterium
Lineage: Bacteria
Description: partial 16S ribosomal RNA
Rfam family: Bacterial small subunit ribosomal RNA
Source: RNAcentral
UACGUAGGGGGCAAGCGUUAUCCGGAUUUACUGGGUGUAAAGGGAGCGUAGACGGUUAUGUAAGUCAGAUGUGAAAGCCCAGGGCUCAACCCUGGGACUGCAUUUGAAACUAUGUAACUGGAGUGCAGGAGAGGUAAGUGGAAUUCCUAGUGUAGCGGUGAAAUGCGUAGAUAUUAGGAGGAACACCAGUGGCGAAGGCGGCUUACUGGACUGUAACUGACGUUGAGGCUCGAAAGCGUGGGGAGCAAACAGG